This is a long non-coding RNA of Harmonia axyridis, 208 nucleotides long. RefSeq lists it as uncharacterized. Lineage: Eukaryota; Metazoa; Arthropoda; Insecta; Coleoptera; Coccinellidae. The record is from RefSeq and is a predicted model, not a curated record. The transcript is spliced from 3 exons.
GAAAUGACGAAAUUGCCGAUAAUGAUGCUGCAUAUACCCCUGAGUCAGAAUUCGACGACUCCGAUACUGAUCCAACAUAUGACCCGAAGCAAGAGUCUGAGCGGAAAGGGAAACGAUUUCGACAGUUGUUGACGGAUUCUUCUGCAUCGUCAAAGAACAACUCCUUUAAUACGCCAUCGAGCACAGAAAAAUUUGUCAAAAAACCUAU